This is a long non-coding RNA of Cervus elaphus (red deer), 2841 nucleotides long. RefSeq lists it as uncharacterized. The record is from RefSeq and is a predicted model, not a curated record. Lineage: Eukaryota; Metazoa; Chordata; Mammalia; Artiodactyla; Cervidae. The transcript has 3 exons.
GCAUGUUCUUGCUUCUGUCUCAGGCCCCCAUGUGGCCCUGCUGGCUCUCACGGCCUGGUCCUGGGGACACCGGGGGGUUGGAGGAAGCAAAGUGUCAUCGUCACCAUGGUAAUUACCAAUAACUGGUUUCUGCCAGGGCCCACAGGUGUCUUCUAGACUCUGAAGGAAGCGCCUGCGGGAAGCCUGGCUGUGUGAGCUGGUGCUGGGCCCCGGUGGCUUCACAGUGAUCCAGGCCGUGGCACCGUGGUGCUGGCUCGUCCCUCCCCGGGGGCACCUGCUUGCGCCUCCUGCCUGUGGCUCAGUUCGCACGCGGUUUUGGCCUGCACACCCUGGCCCCCUCCUGGCGCGCCGGCCCUGGGGACCCAGCAGCCACAGGCUGUCCCCAGGGCCCGUGGCCUCCGUCCCCAGCCGUGCCCACAUCCGGCCACGCCUCAGGCACCCCCUUCCCAGGCUGCUGGGCCUUUUGGGCCCUGAGCUUCUGGGCUGACCUCCUGGCCCCGAGGCUCUGCAGGCUGCUGUUUACCUGAGGUCUUGCCCAUUGGCUGGGGCUGCAGAAAUUGGGGUUCCGCCUGACCGAAGUCUCCACCUGACUUCCUGUUUCUGGUUCUGAGAUUUGGGCCAAAGGCCACAGAGCUAGUGGAUAAAGGACCAUUUGACCUCGCUGACACGUCAAGGGCCUGAGAGAAAGCGCUGCAGCGUGUUUAAGCGGGAGAGCGGCUGCAGGACCCAUGGCCUGUCUGGCACGUGGCCCAGCCCAACGCGGCCACCCCCCCAGUGGUGACGGAGCCACGAGGGGUGACAGGCCACCCGGCGCCCCCGACGCGCCCCCGGUCUUUCCAAGCGAGACCCGAGACCCGUCUCGGGCUGGAAUGCGGCAGAGGAAACGCUUUUGUGCAGCCCAGCUUAUCUGAUUUCCCAGCUUGUUGCUCCGUCUUAUCAAAACAGGCUGCUUCCUGUGUUACACAAGGCGAGGAGGUGUGAGCGGCCCGGGCAGCGGCUGCAGCGAAAGCCCGGCGUUGGAGGAGGUGGCCUUCUGCCCCUGGUCUGGACGGGACAGGCGGCUUGGGGCUUGGAUUGUGAGGAUGCCAGGUGAGGGACACGGCGGGCUGGACAAGGGGAGGCCCUUCACCAGCUGGUCUUCCCUCUUUGAGCCGCCCACAGGGUGGUGCCUGGUGUAGGCGGGCCUGGAGAACGGCGGAGGAGGACGCGUGUGCGCGGCUGAGACGGCCGUGUCCGCGGCCAGGGUGUGUUCGCCCCAGAUUAAUACUUCACAUAUUCAGCUCAGUGUUGUUAACUGCGGGUGCUGCUGUGGGCUGCCCAUCAGACCCUUGGGACUUAUCCACCUUGUAAUGGAAAGCUUGUAUCCUGUGACCAACAUCUCCUGAAAGCCCAGCCCCCAUGGGGAAGCCAUUCCACUCUCCAUUUCUGCAAACUGGACGCUUUAGAUCUGCACAUACAGGAACCAGAUGGCUGCGCAGACCUCACCCCACAGUGAUGUCCCAGUGUGUGGGGUGAAAGAGGAGGAGAAGGAAAGGGGGCCCAGCGAGACGCGAGACUGGAGGGGCAGCAUGGGCAGAGCUCCCGGCCUGGUGGGCAUCAUCCCACCACCUGGAGGACAGGUGAGUGUGGGCGUCACACCUGGGGGGGUCCCAGGAGUUUCUCCCCGAGGAAGCAGCUUGGGCCAGCACAGCAGGUGCUGACCUUCUCUGCAGAAGCUGCCUUGGACGUGGCUGGGAGUGUAACCACCCGCUCGGCUCUGGGGCUUAGCAGGGUGGGGGGUAGGGCCCAGUGGACACAGCUCGGAUUCAGGCAGGAAACGGGCUCUGAAUGCAGGAGGGUCCGGAAAUCACAGCGGUGAGAACCUUCCACCCAGAGUGUCCUGAGGACAGAAGCUCUGCAGAAGCCCGUCCUAGAAAAGCGUGUGGACGGAAGUUCUCGGCCCCAGGCUGGAGCAGACUGGCUUCUGCCCAGACCUGGGGGACCAGCUGCCCCAGGGCCUCAGUGUGGGGCUUACAGGGGUGUGGUGUCCAGCCCACCGCCUGUCACGCGGACGGGCUCUCUCCAGUGGCAGCUGCUGGUUCAGGCUGCGCUGCGUUGUCGUUAACCCCCACGCGGACUUUCGAGGACCAUCCUAAUGUGCCUGAACUCACUCCUUCUCCUCCUGGAGGGUCAUCUCUGAGCCCUAAGAGACAACGGCCCCCAAGGCCUCCAGGUCAGCACCCACUUUGGCCGUGGCUUGGAGGGCGUGCCCCGGCCUCCGGAGCUCUGCAGGGUCGUUGUCAGCUCACCCUUUCGUGACCAAGGUGGGCGGAGGACGCACCCUGGCCUCCGGAGCUCUGCAGGGUCACUGUGGCCCAGCAGAGCAGUGUGUGGAAUGUGUUUAUUUAGUUCCUGGCUCGUAGCAAGUGCUCGAUAAAUUUCAGAGAUUGUCGCAAAUAUUUCUAGCGCUGCUGAGGCCGAGUGUUUAAGACUGCAUCUGGUUCAUCUUAGAGCCUCUGCAGCCAAUCCCACCUCUGCCUUGGUUUAAACUUGGGCCUGGGAGCCGACCCCGAGGGGUUCCUGUAGAACAGUGAACCCCCUUCCACCUGUCAUGGGGAGGCCUGGGGUCUCCAGCCGAGCUGCGAGCAGUCCUCAGUGGUGGGUGGGCGACGAGACUGAAACUGCACAGCUAGAGUGCCUGUGUCCAGGGCUUGACUGAGGCUGACCCUGCGCCUGUUGCAGAGGGCUCUUGAGAGUCCCUGGGGCAGCAAGGAGAUCCAACCAGUCCAUCCUAAAGGAAAUUGAUCCUGAAUAUUCACUAGAAGGACUGAUGCUUAAGCUGAAACUCCAGUACUGUAGACA